Amphiprion ocellaris (clown anemonefish) is the source of this 501-nucleotide long non-coding RNA. Lineage: Eukaryota; Metazoa; Chordata; Actinopteri; Pomacentridae. The record is from Ensembl.
GAGGACAGAGGAAAAAGAACAAAGUGUGAAAAUAGCAAAGUGUGAGACAAGAGGAAGAAGAACACUGCUUUCCUCAUGUGUUUGUUUGUUUGUUUGUUUGUUUCAGAUGCUGAGAGACCAAGCGGUGGACGUCCAGAGAACAGAGGGGGUGGCAGGUUGACAGAGAAAGACAGAGUGGUCGACAUGUUGAAGACAACCGAGCUGAUUGUUUGUGUUCUGGAGCUGCCACAGACUUGCUGUGGAAGCACUUCUUCUUCUUCUUCUUCUUCUUCUUCUUCUUCUUCUUCUUCUUCUUCUUCUUCUUCUUCUUCUUCUUCUUCUUCUUCUUCUUCUUCUUCUUCUUCUUCUUCUUCUUCUUCUUCUUCUUCUUCUUCUUCUUCUUCUUCUUCUUCUUCUUCUUAAUGGAAUUUCAGCCUAAAUAAAAAAAAAAAAAAAAAAAAAAAAAAAAGAGUCCAAACUGCAUUGUGGUCAAUUUUUUGAAAAGAAAAACAGUAAAGUGUG